GCCUCCAUAAUUCAAAGGAUAGAACCCUCCUCUUGUAAAGCUGGGAAUUCCAGUUCGAAUCUGGAUGGGGGCA
RNAcentral lists this transfer RNA (73 nucleotides) under Parcubacteria bacterium C7867-008. RNAcentral describes it as "tRNA-Thr". It matches the Rfam family "tRNA". From Rfam's summary of the family: Transfer RNA (tRNA) molecules are approximately 80 nucleotides in length. Their secondary structure includes four short double-helical elements and three loops (D, anti-codon, and T loops). The record is from RNAcentral. Lineage: Bacteria; Candidatus Parcubacteria.